This 500-nucleotide ribosomal RNA is filed under the name uncultured bacterium. RNAcentral describes it as "partial 16S ribosomal RNA". It matches the Rfam family "Bacterial small subunit ribosomal RNA", at positions 30 to 523 of the family's 1533-position model. The record is from RNAcentral.
AUUGAACGCUGGCGGCAUGCCUUACACAUGCAAGUCGAACGGCAGCGCGGGCUUCGGCCUGGCGGCGAGUGGCGAACGGGUGAGUAAUACAUGGGAACGUGCCCUAGAGUGGGGGAUAACUAGUCGAAGGAUUAGCUAAUACAGCAUACGAUCUACGGAUGAAAGUGGGGGACCGCAAGGCCUCAUGCUCCUGGAGCGGCCGAUGUCUGAUUAGCUAGUUGGUGGGGUAAAAGCCUACCAAGGCGACGAUCAGUAGCUGGUCUGAGAGGACGACCAGCCACACUGGGACUGUGACACGGCCCAGACUCCUACGGGAGGCAGCAGUGGGGAAUUUUGGACAAUGGGGGAAACCCUGAUCCAGCAAUGCCGCGUGUGUGAAGAAGGCCUUCGGGUUGUAAAGCACUUUUGUCAGGAACGAAACGGUGGGGGCUAAUAUCCUCUGCUAAUGACGGUACCUGAAGAAUAAGCACCGGCUAACUACGUGCCAGCCGCCGCGGUAA